AUGCACGCUGGCGGCGUGCCUAAUACAUGCAAGUCGAGCGAACAGACGAGGAGCUUGCUCCUCUGACGUUAGCGGCGGACGGGUGAGUAACACGUGGAUAACCUACCUAUAAGACUGGGAUAACUUCGGGAAACCGGAGCUAAUACCGGAUAAUAUAUUGAACCGCAUGGUUCAAUAGUGAAAGACGGUUUUGCUGUCACUUAUAGAUGGAUCCGCGCCGCAUUAGCUAGUUGGUAAGGUAACGGCUUACCAAGGCAACGAUGCGUAGCCGACCUGAGAGGGUGAUCGGCCACACUGGAACUGAGACACGGUCCAGACUCCUACGGGAGGCAGCAGUAGGGAAUCUUCCGCAAUGGGCGAAAGCCUGACGGAGCAACGCCGCGUGAGUGAUGAAGGUCUUCGGAUCGUAAAACUCUGUUAUUAGGGAAGAACAAAUGUGUAAGUAACUAUGCACGUCUUGACGGUACCUAAUCAGAAAGCCAUGGCUAACUACGUG
This 496-nucleotide ribosomal RNA is filed under the name uncultured bacterium. RNAcentral describes it as "partial 16S ribosomal RNA". It matches the Rfam family "Bacterial small subunit ribosomal RNA", at positions 29 to 507 of the family's 1533-position model. The record is from RNAcentral.